UACGUAUGGUGCAAGCGUUAUCCGGAUUUACUGGGUGUAAAGGGAGCGCAGGCGGCACGGCAAGCCUGAUGUGAAAGCCCGCGGCCCAACCGCGGGACUGCAUUGGGAACUACCGGGCUGGAGUACCGGAGAGGUAGGCGGAAUUCCUAGUGUAGCGGUGAAAUGCGUAGAUAUUAGGAGGAACACCAGUGGCGAAGGCGGCCUACUGGACGGUGACUGACGCUGAGGCUCGAAAGCGUGGGGAGCAAACAGG
RNAcentral lists this ribosomal RNA (253 nucleotides) under uncultured bacterium. RNAcentral describes it as "partial 16S ribosomal RNA". It matches the Rfam family "Bacterial small subunit ribosomal RNA", at positions 524 to 776 of the family's 1533-position model. The record is from RNAcentral.